AUAUCAUGGAUAUACGUGAUUUCCAACACAUGUGGGUCCGAAAUCGGUUUUUGACUUUUGGAAAAAAUCAUUUGAAAACCUAUUUUCAUGCAUUAGAAUUAAUUCAUUUAGAAUUUAUUAAUAUUAUUUAGUAAAUUUUGGCUAGAUACAAGUGAAUUGGUGGUGGAAACAAGAGGUAAAGCGAUAGUUGAGGUUUGAAUUAUGUUCGUGGCGUCGAGAUAAGUAUUUGGUCUACCCCUAGCUUGACGGAUUAAGAGUUGUGUCUUAUUUGCUAUGUGUUAAUUGUGGAGUACGAUGUGUAGGCAUGGUGACGAGUAUCUAUACAUUGGUGUCAAACAUGCCCGUCAUUCUCGUAUUGUAAUUUUAUGACUCCAUUGUGAUUUGUUCAUUCUUAAUAUGUUGAUUUACUUGUUGGUUCCCUUGCCGGGAUGUUUUUGUCUCCCUUGCCGGGAUAUUAUUAUUAUACUCUUGUUCCCUUGCCAAGAUUCUUUUAUGAUUGAUAUUGAAUUAUUUGUGGGAUUGGGUUGUACGCCGCAACGGUAUUAUAUGAACUAGGAUCGGGUUGCACGCCGCAACAGUAAUAUAUGAAAUUGGUCGGUUGCACGCUGCAAUGGUAAUAUAUGAAAUGGGAUCGGUUGCACCACAAUGGUGUUAUAUUAAAUGGUAUUGGGUUGCAUGCCGCAACGGUAUUACAUAAAUGAGAUCGCGUUUCAUGCCGCACCAAUAUUAUAUGAUUUAGGAUUGGGUUGCACGCCACAACAAAAAAGAAAUGUAAGUGUAUAUUGUGUUUGUUUUCCUUAUUCUUGUUGGGAAUUGAAUUAUGGUCUAUCUUUACAUUCCUCUAUUGGUAUUUUGUUGUUAUCUGAUACUCCCCCCAACAUGUGUUUCCCCUCCCAUCUUUAACUAUAAAUAUCAGCUUAUAUUUUUUGUUGUAUAUUAUUUAACUACACAUGUUUAUUUGGUAGUCUAGUUCUAGCCUCGUCACUACUUUGUGCAUGUCGCACCAGUAUUAUAUGAUAUAGGAUUGGGUUGCACGCCACAACAAAAAUGAAAUGAAAGGGUAUAUUGUGUUUGUUUUCCUUAUUCUGUUGGCAAUUGAAUUAUGGUCUUUCUUUACAUUCCUGUAUUGGUAUUUUGUUGUUAUCUGAUACUACCCGCGACAUGUGUUUCCC
This 1172-nucleotide long non-coding RNA is filed under the name Nicotiana benthamiana. RNAcentral's name for it is "long non-coding RNA (NBEN_LNC024270)". The record is from RNAcentral. Lineage: Eukaryota; Viridiplantae; Streptophyta; Magnoliopsida; Solanales; Solanaceae.